Molecule: unclassified non-coding RNA, 350 nt
Filed under: soil metagenome
Description: partial contains 5.8S ribosomal RNA, internal transcribed spacer 2, and large subunit ribosomal RNA
Rfam family: 5.8S ribosomal RNA (bases 1-120)
Source: RNAcentral
GAUGAAGAGCGUAGCGAAAUGCGAUAAGUAAUGUGAAUUGCAGAAUUCAGUGAAUCAUCGAAUCUUUGAACGCACAUUGCGCCCGCCAGUAUUCUGGCGGGCAUGCCUGUUCGAGCGUCAUUUCAACCCUCAAGCCCAGCUUGGUGUUGGGGAUCGGCACAGGCGCCCUCGGGCGCCCGCCGUCCCCUAAAUCUAGUGGCGGUCCCGCUGCAGCCUCCUCUGCGUAGUAGUUUUCUCCUCGCAAGGGCAGCUCGGUGGCGACCUCGCCGUAAAACCCCCAACUUCUGAAAGGUUGACCUCGAAUCAGGUAGGAAUACCCGCUGAACUUAAGCAUAUCAAUAAGCGGAGGA